AAGGGAGUAAGAAAGCAAAAAGAACAGAUGAAGGAAAACUUAACAACUUUCCGGUGGUUUGAUUCCUCCUUUGAUUUCUUUUUCGGUUCUCUUUUGUCUGUCCUCUCUCCUCCUCUCGUUCCUCUCUUCUCCCUCCUUCCUCUCUCCUCCCUCUCCCUUUGCUCUCCUCUCUCCUCUCAUAAUCUUGUUCUUUCUGUGUCUCUCCUCAAACCAAAGUGUUGCAGUGAAGGACACGAGCCAUUGAAAUCAGGGUGGGGCCUGACAGCCACAGUGUGGCCCCCGCCCCUCGCUGGGCAGGAGCAGAGAGAGGGGAGAGCCCUGAGACCACAGGGCUUUGGCCUGGGCAGCUUCCACUUUCUGCCGGACACUCCAAGGAGAGGCAGAUGGAGCCCCAGGCCUCAGCGUUCUCUUUUUUCCUUGUCUCCCUUCUCCCACCCGGGAAAUGAAACUGUUGGGCUGGGCCACGGAGGCAGCAGAGACUCGGCCAUUGCAGGGGCCUCCGGGUGCCUUGUCCGGGCAGUGGUGGAGUAGCCGCCCCUCCCACCCCUGGCACGAUGGGGCCUGGCACCUUGUUGACCCAUCCUCGCCGGAAUGUAAGCAUCUCCGCUGAAUGACUCCCUGCCCUUACCCUACCUCUGAGUUUGUCCAUGUUUAUUUCCUGAAGAGAGAAGGGACUGGCAAGAGGGCUUGGGCCCCAGCCCAAGGGUGGAGAGGGGGCCAAGGGCUCCUGACCAAAUAGGAAGGACAUUUGAGCAGAGCAAAAUGAAAGGAAUUACAACCAAAAACCCCCUCCGAGAAGACAGGCAGCAUGGAAGGCAUGGUGGAGAUGACUCAAACAAAAACUAUGAUUCUAGACCAAAAAGGAAAAAAAAAAAAAAAAAGUAAAGAAAAUCCAGGACUCACCACCACCCACUUCAUCCUGCUUCCUCCCCAUCAAGUCCCACCACCUGGGACCUCUCCCCACCCCAGUAUGGGGUAGUGGGGCAAAGAGAAGAGGAGGAGCAGGGGGCAGGGAUGGGGCAGAUGCCCUGACGUUGGUGGAGGGACCCCUGUGCAGCCAGGGGUGCUGGGGACCCUCCCCAUCCAACCCUCACACCUAGGAAAAGAAAAACAAGAAAAAAGAAAAUUCCUGGGAGGGGGAAAAAUAACCAAAUCCCAAGCUUUAACUACAGCUGUGAAACCAAAUAUUGGGAAGGGGGUAGGAGGGAGGGAGGGGCAGGUGAGCCCCAGGUCUCCCCCCUGGGCCCCCCUCCCCCGAGGACUCGAGAUAAGGCACCAAAUACCUCAUAGAACUUUAAUGUUAAAAAAAGGAAACCAAAUAUCGUUGGCUGGGGGCCAGCCAGGGCAAGGGGCUGGGGGGCUGGAGGGAGCCAGGGUUGGGAAGGUGAUGGGGGAAUUCAUGCCCCCCACCCCCAUCUGCCUCUUCCACUCUGGUCCCCCGUCUCGACUCCGGGAAACAAAACUAUCUCAUCGUUUUUAUUUUGUGGUCUGUACAGAGCCUGUGUCCGUGUGUCUGUGUGUGAGCGAGAGAAUUGGAGGGCAGGGGAGCUUUAUGUGGGGGAUGGGGAGGGAAACCCCAGGCUAGGCUAUGGGCUAGGUUAGAUGGCCGAGGUUGGGAGCUGAGGGCCUGGGCUGGAAAGAGAGGAGAGAUGAGUGGAUUGGAGCAGUGGGGAGCCCUCUGAAUUUCUCUUCUCCCCAACCUUGACCUCCUACUUAAGGGAGGGACAGAGACUGGGUCUACCCUAAUGGUAGGCCUUUUCAUUGUGCCAAAAAAAAAAAAAAAAAAACUGAUGCCAGUAACUAAACCACCUCUCUCUGUUCUCUUCUGGGGGGUGGGGUGGGUGUGUGUGUGUUGGGGUGGGUAGGGAUGGGGAACCCAAGCCCCAGUAGGAGUUGGGGCUGAGAUCAGGAGGAGGGGAAGGAUAUGAGUUUUCUACCCAUCUCCCUGGAGAAGGCCAUGAUGGGCUCUCCAAGCCCUGGGGAGAUUUGGCGAGGGACUAGCCAAGUCAGGGUGACCUCUUGACCUGACUAGUUUUUCUAACCCACCCGAAUACCAGGGUGCCUCUCUCUUCCUCUAGCCCAGGGUAGGGGGACCUGAGUGAGAGAGAGAGUGAGACAGACAGCAAGAUUGAGACACGCGGGCCCCCACUGGUCUCUGAGUGGGAAAGGCAAGUGCGAGAGAUAAAGGCCUCCAA
RNA transcript from Piliocolobus tephrosceles (Ugandan red Colobus), 2195 nucleotides. RefSeq lists it as uncharacterized. The transcript has a single exon. The record is from RefSeq and is a predicted model, not a curated record. NCBI's taxonomy places the organism in Eukaryota, Metazoa, Chordata, Mammalia, Primates, Cercopithecidae.